Molecule: ribosomal RNA, 460 nt
Filed under: uncultured bacterium
Lineage: Bacteria
Description: partial 16S ribosomal RNA
Rfam family: Bacterial small subunit ribosomal RNA
Source: RNAcentral
CCUACGGGGGGCAGCAGUGAGGAAUAUUGGUCAAUGGGCGCGAGCCUGAACCAGCCAAGUAGGGUGAAGGAUGACUGCCCUACGGGUUGUAAACUUCUUUUAUAAAGGAAUAAAGUGAGGCACGUGUGCCUUUUUGUAUGUACUUUAUGAAUAAGGAUCGGCUAACUCCGUGCCAGCAGCCGCGGUAAUACGGAGGAUCCGAGCGUUAUCCGGAUUUAUUGGGUUUAAAGGGAGCGUAGAUGGGUUGUUAAGUCAGUUGUGAAAGUUUGCGGCUCAACCGUAAAAUUGCCAUUGAUACUGGCAGGCUUGAGUACAGUUGAGGUAGGCGGAAUUCGUGGUGUAGCGGUGAAAUGCUUAGAGAUCAUGAAGAACUCCGAUUGCGAAGGCAGCUUACCAAGCUGCUACUGACAUUGAGGCUCGAAAGUGUGGGUAUCAAACAGGAUUAGAGACACGGGUAGUC